This 538-nucleotide ribosomal RNA is filed under the name uncultured bacterium. Its description in RNAcentral is "bacterial SSU rRNA". It matches the Rfam family "Bacterial small subunit ribosomal RNA", at positions 778 to 1314 of the family's 1533-position model. The record is from RNAcentral.
AUAGAUCCCUGGUAGUCCACGCCGUAAACGAUGAAUGCUAGGUGUUAGGGGUUUCGAGUACCCUUGGUGCCGAAGUUAACACAUUAAGCAUUCCGCCUGGGGAGUACGGCCGCAAGGCUGAAACUCAAAGGAAUUGACGGGGACCCGCACAAGCAGUGGAGUAUGUGGUUUAAUUCGAAGCAACGCGAAGAACCUUACCAGGUCUUGACAUCCCCCUGACCGGUGCAGAGAUGUGCCUUUCCUUCGGGACAGGGGAGACAGGUGGUGCAUGGUUGUCGUCAGCUCGUGUCGUGAGAUGUUGGGUUAAGUCCCGCAACGAGCGCAACCCUUGACUUUAGUUGCCAGCAAGUAAGGUUGGGCACUCUAGAGUGACUGCCGGUGACAAACCGGAGGAAGGUGGGGAUGACGUCAAAUCAUCAUGCCCCUUAUGACCUGGGCUACACACGUACUACAAUGGCCGGUACAACGGGAAGCGAAGGAGCGAUCUGGAGCGAAUCCUUUAAAGCCGGUCUCAGUUCGGAUUGCAGGCUGCAACUCG